RNAcentral lists this ribosomal RNA (254 nucleotides) under uncultured bacterium. Its description in RNAcentral is "partial 16S ribosomal RNA". It matches the Rfam family "Bacterial small subunit ribosomal RNA", at positions 524 to 776 of the family's 1533-position model. The record is from RNAcentral.
UACGUAGGGGGCAAGCGUUGUCCGGAUUUACUGGGCGUAAAGCGCGCGUAGGCGGAACUUCAAGUCCGGUCUGAAAGCCCCCGGCUCAACCGGGGAGGGUGGCUGGAAACUGGGGUUCUUGAGGGCGAGAGAGGAGGGUGGAAGUCCUGGUGUAGCGGUGAAAUGCGUAGAGAUCAGGAGGAACACCCGGGGCGAAGGCGGCCCUCGUGGCUCGACCCUGACGCUGAGGCGCGAAAGCGUGGGGAGCGAACAGG